GGCGAUCACAUCUGACGGAGAUCGGGUGCAUCGCCUGCAACGAGCUGGCGGAGCUCGGAGCCGGCGAGAGGGAGGGAGGGAUGACUCAACGAUCCCUCCGUCCUGGCGGCCCUUCACCCACUCUCCCUCGCCCUCGCGUCCGCAGCCCGUCCCUUCGUCGUCUGCUCCCCCCAAGAUAUGCCUCUCCCUCUCUCUGCCGGAUAACUGCCCUCGAUUUCUUCCCCUUCGGCGGCCUCCUCGCUCUCGCCCUCGGUACCUCCACGGGUCUCAUCGUCGUCUACUCCCUAUGCCGCGAACUGAUCAGGAAACCGCAAGCAAACGCGGCCUCGUACAAGAUUACAUUUCUGAGGAGCUCUGUGUGGUCUUGCCUGGGGUCGUUGCCCUUUUUGAUGGCUCGGAUUUCUUUCUUAGUCCUAAAGAGUAAAACAAGAUGCUUUUACAUUUUGAUUGAUUUCCUAAUGCAAACUACCAGCUUGCCGUUCUUCUUCCUCCUCAUUUCUCACUGCUCUAGCAUUGUAUUGGUAGAAGAGAAAAAAGAUCAAGGAUUUGACUUGAGACUUCCUCUGAAAAUAUUGUUUUUAUUAUUUUAUAUGGCCAAAAAGAUAAGGAUCUUGACAUGUUUGUGAUCCAACUUUCAAUGCGAAGGGUUUGCUUCGGAGAUGGUUUCAAGAGGCUGAAUCAUGAAUGUGGGAGAAUAGGUUUCACAAAUCGGAGUCAGAGGAUGAAACUUCCUACCGGAGGAUACCCUUUGAGCUCUGGAACGUUGGCAAGUUUGCAACUCGUGCUGAUGCAGCUAUCGCAGGGAUAAUGCCACCGCCACUCUUGGAGCUCCAGCUCCUUUUAUUACUGGGCGGUCAAGUCAGCUCUACUAUGGUGUGAUUACAAUCGGAAAUGCUUCCGUGACAUCUGCUUACAGGUAUGUUCAGCUUAGCCUUGCCUUUUACCUGUAUUAUUCCUGCAAUGCAGUUUGCUUUACUUUGAUCAAUUACUAGCAGUCUCCUGUCCGUAGAAUAGUUUGGACUAUGAUCCAACUGGAGACUGAGUUGGUUCACAAGUAGGAUGAGGUGCUCAUCCUUUUCUGUCCAAAGAACUUGACACCAUGUUGAACUACUUCACGUUCCCCUACGUGAGGCUCGUUCGGAAGUACAACAAACACAUAUAGAUCAAUCUUUUGUAGCUUGAUUGGAAGUAGAACAAACAUACAGACCAGACGAUGAUGGAAGCAAUAGAUGUUUCUUUCAUGUUUUCCAUGAACAAACAAACAAGGACUUCUCCUCUCUUCUUGGUCUCGUUUCCUCUGACUUCUCAUUCCCCUGUUCUCCGUUUCUAUAACCUCAACUCCAUCUUGCAUCAAAAGCUUGUACUGAUGAUGAUGUGUUGGAAGCCAAAGUCCAUGGCUUCAUGAUCUAUUAUAUCUUACGUGACAUGCAUAGCUACAAGUAAUCAACAACAAGGAGAUUCCGGAAGCUUUUGCAGUGGGCCAGUUUUUUAGCCUAUUACUCUUCAGAAUUAUUUGUCUUCUUUGUCUCUUCUUCUUCAAUUAACUAUGUCCCAAAUCAUACUCAUUCUUGGUGUCCUAAAGCACAGUUUAGAAACAUAUAAACUAACACACAGGAGAGGAGGAAGGGAAGACUUUAAACCUGGAGUUGUUUGUUGCAGGUCGCUUUUCUCCUUCUACAUGGGCAUGGGUUGAAGUGAUCAAUCAAUAGCCACCAGUGGGUGUCUACAAACAUCAUCAGAAGCCACAAGUCUCCCUUUUUCUCUGUCCCAACGUUCAUGAUCAAGAUUUCUACCGAGUUGUCAUGAAGAUUAGAGCAAUGAUAUUUCCAUGAAAGGACAGACGUACACAGGAAGGUUAGUGGAAUUUGUUGCGUAAAGAGAAUGGAGACCAGUGGAUAAGCCUCGUUUCAGUGAGCACAGAAAGAAUAAACAUACUUUUGCUUUUAGAUAUGCUAAUUUACAUGAGAAAUCGAAUCUGGUGGUUUAUGAGAAUAAUGUGUCCUUCGUUUCUUGUUCCUGUUUCCUCCUAAUCUCUACUAGGAUUGAUGGUUAUGGGUGACACAAAAGAAUCAAAA
Non-coding RNA from Musa acuminata subsp. malaccensis (wild Malaysian banana), 2075 nucleotides. NCBI's taxonomy places the organism in Eukaryota, Viridiplantae, Streptophyta, Magnoliopsida, Zingiberales, Musaceae. The record is from RefSeq and is a predicted model, not a curated record.